This 463-nucleotide ribosomal RNA is filed under the name uncultured bacterium. RNAcentral's name for it is "partial 16S ribosomal RNA". It matches the Rfam family "Bacterial small subunit ribosomal RNA", at positions 28 to 507 of the family's 1533-position model. The record is from RNAcentral.
GACGAACGCUGGCGGCGUGCUUAACACAUGCAAGUCGAACGGAAAGGCCUUUUCGGCGGUACUCGAGUGGCGAACGGGUGAGUAACACGUGGGUGAUCUGCCCUGCACUCUGGGAUAAGCCUGGGAAACUGGGUCUAAUACCGGAUAGGACCGCACUUUAGUGUGUGUGGUGGAAAGUUUUUUCGGUGUAGGAUGAGCCCGCGGCCUAUCAGCUUGUUGGUGGGGUAAUGGCCUACCAAGGCGGCGACGGGUAGCCGGACUGAGAGGUUGGUCGGCCACAUUGGGACUGAGAUACGGCCCAGACUCCUACGGGAGGCAGCAGUGGGGAAUAUUGCACAAUGGGCGCAAGCCUGAUGCAGCGCCGCCGCGUGGGGGAUGACGGCCUUCGGGUUGUAAACUCCUUUCGCCAGGGACGAAGCGUUUUGUGACGGUACCCGGAGAAGAAGCACCGGCUAACUACGUG